Molecule: ribosomal RNA, 440 nt
Filed under: uncultured bacterium
Lineage: Bacteria
Description: partial 16S ribosomal RNA
Rfam family: Bacterial small subunit ribosomal RNA
Source: RNAcentral
CCUACGGGAGGCAGCAGUGGGGAAUAUUGCACAAUGGGGGAAACCCUGAUGCAGCGACGCCGCGUGAGUGAAGAAGUACUUCGUUAUGUAAAGCUCUAUCAGCAGGGAAGAAAAUGACGGUAACUGAGUAAGAAGCCCCGGCUAACUACGUGCCAGCAGCCGCGGUAAUACGUAGGGGGCAAGCGUUAUCCGGAUUUACUGGGUGGAAAGGGAGCGUAGACGGCUGUGCAAGGCUGGAGGGAAAGGCGGGGGCUCAACCCCCGGACUGCUCUGGAAACUGUACGGCUGGAGUGCAGGAGAGGUAAGUGGAAUUCCUAGUGAAGCGGUGAAAUGCGUAGAGAUGAGGAGGAACACCAGUGGCGAAGGCGGCUUACUGGACAGUAACUGACGUUGAGGCGCGAAAGCGUGGGGAGCAAACAGGAUUAGAUACCCUUGUAGUC